Molecule: ribosomal RNA, 1595 nt
Filed under: Salmonella enterica subsp. enterica serovar Enteritidis
Lineage: Bacteria; Pseudomonadati; Pseudomonadota; Gammaproteobacteria; Enterobacterales; Enterobacteriaceae
Description: partial 23S ribosomal RNA
Rfam family: Bacterial large subunit ribosomal RNA
Source: RNAcentral
GGGUAGGGGAGCGUUCUGUAAGCCUGCGAAGGUGGCCUGUGAGGGUUGCUGGAGGUAUCAGAAGUGCGAAUGCUGACAUAAGUAACGAUAAAGCGGGUGAAAAGCCCGCUCGCCGGAAGACCAAGGGUUCCUGUCCAACGUUAAUCGGGGCAGGGUGAGUCGACCCCUAAGGCGAGGCCGAAAGGCGUAGUCGAUGGGAAACGGGUUAAUAUUCCCGUACUUGGUGUUACUGCGAAGGGGGGACGGAGAAGGCUAUGUUGGCCGGGCGACGGUUGUCCCGGUUUAAGCGUGUAGGUGUGUGUUCCAGGUAAAUCCGGUUCACUUUAACACUGAGGCGUGACGACGAGGCACUACGGUGCUGAAGCAACAAAUGCCCUGCUUCCAGGAAAAGCCUCUAAGCAUCAGGUAACAUCAAAUCGUACCCCAAACCGACACAGGUGGUCAGGUAGAGAAUACCAAGGCGCUUGAGAGAACUCGGGUGAAGGAACUAGGCAAAAUGGUGCCGUAACUUCGGGAGAAGGCACGCUGACACGUAGGUGAAGUGAUUUACUCAUGGAGCUGAAGUCAGUCGAAGAUACCAGCUGGCUGCAACUGUUUAUUAAAAACACAGCACUGUGCAAACACGAAAGUGGACGUAUACGGUGUGACGCCUGCCCGGUGCCGGAAGGUUAAUUGAUGGGGUCAGCGCAAGCGAAGCUCCUGAUCGAAGCCCCGGUAAACGGCGGCCGUAACUAUAACGGUCCUAAGGUAGCGAAAUUCCUUGUCGGGUAAGUUCCGACCUGCACGAAUGGCGUAAUGAUGGCCAGGCUGUCUCCACCCGAGACUCAGUGAAAUUGAACUCGCUGUGAAGAUGCAGUGUACCCGCGGCAAGACGGAAAGACCCCGUGAACCUUUACUAUAGCUUGACACUGAACAUUGAGCCUUGAUGUGUAGGAUAGGUGGGAGGCUUUGAAGUGUGGACGCCAGUCUGCAUGGAGCCGACCUUGAAAUACCACCCUUUAAUGUUUGAUGUUCUAACGUGGACCCGUUACCCGGGUUGCGGACAGUGUCUGGUGGGUAGUUUGACUGGGGCGGUCUCCUCCUAAAGAGUAACGGAGGAGCACGAAGGUUGGCUAAUCCUGGUCGGACAUCAGGAGGUUAGUGCAAUGGCAUAAGCCAGCUUGACUGCGAGCGUGACGGCGCGAGCAGGUGCGAAAGCAGGUCAUAGUGAUCCGGUGGUUCUGAAUGGAAGGGCCAUCGCUCAACGGAUAAAAGGUACUCCGGGGAUAACAGGCUGAUACCGCCCAAGAGUUCAUAUCGACGGCGGUGUUUGGCACCUCGAUGUCGGCUCAUCACAUCCUGGGGCUGAAGUAGGUCCCAAGGGUAUGGCUGUUCGCCAUUUAAAGUGGUACGCGAGCUGGGUUUAGAACGUCGUGAGACAGUUCGGUCCCUAUCUGCCGUGGGCGCUGGAGAACUGAGGGGGGCUGCUCCUAGUACGAGAGGACCGGAGUGGACGCAUCACUGGUGUUCGGGUUGUCAUGCCAAUGGCACUGCCCGGUAGCUAAAUGCGGAAGAGAUAAGUGCUGAAAGCAUCUAAGCACGAAACUUGCCCCGAG